Long non-coding RNA from Pseudopipra pipra, 12662 nucleotides. RefSeq lists it as uncharacterized. The record is from RefSeq and is a predicted model, not a curated record. The transcript has 12 exons. Lineage: Eukaryota; Metazoa; Chordata; Aves; Passeriformes; Pipridae.
CACCCAUACUAAAGUGGGUGGCAAAAUGGGCGGCGAAAUUUUAAGUCCCGAAUAAAUCUAUCUCGCUUAAAUAAAACCCCACAGUAAAACCCCAGGGCUGGCAGAAGUAAGUUGGCACGUCCACUCCCAGCCAGACCGCCUUUGUUCGCCGGUGCCAGCCGCUGCAGCAUCCAGGGGAGCACAGAACCCCGGCCAGGCAGAAGCAAUAAAUCACCCAGGUUAAGAAGACCCAGCUAGCCCAACAUAGAUCGAUUUCAUGGAUGCUUUCUUGCACUUACCAGUGAAAGAGCUGAGAACUGACCAUCUUCUGAGAGUGCCUUUUGGCUUCAGGGAAGAGAGUGAUACAAGAGCAGUGGUACAUGAAAGAGAAACUCAAAGCUCAACCAAAGGAGAAAACUGAAAAAAACACUCUUAUGUUAAUCAGACAAGACAUAAGUAACUGGAAGAAGAGUGUUACAUUUGACCUCCAGUGAGCACAACAAGAGGAGAAAGAAGAUGAUGCUGUGACAUACAUUACAGUGCUGUCUGCUCUUCUGAUCUCUUUGAUGGUGCCUCUUCUUGGCAUGUGACAUGAACCCAACUCUCAUUCCACUUGUGAACAUUUACAACCACAAGCUCCACUAUGCACCCUAAAGCUUGCACGGUGGACCACAACAUAGCAUAGAGAUGAUUCAUGGGCUGGAGACUUUCUGCACAUGCAGGGUCCAAGGUCUCUGAAAUUCAUCCAGCUUCACAGACCUGCUUCCUACCUGUGCUCAUAUCGGGAAAGAUGCCAAAACAGCUGGGAGAUGAAUUAUCUAUUUAUUUAUUCAAUAGAAAUGCUUCCUUUGACCUGGUGAAAUCUGGUGAGCUGGAAAAGCCUUUUUUGUCACUCAUGUUACCUCUUAUCCUCUGCAGGAGCCGCAGCGGAUUUAAAGGUCAUUUGAAAAGCAGCCUUUUGCUCUUUGACAGCCUUUUCACUAUUAACUUCCAGUUCUGUUUUACAAAGUCAUCAUUAGCUGCAUUUGUGGCUACUGCUAUUUUCCUGGGAUUGCAGAGAAACCUGAGAUACUAAUUGCAAUGAGCUAAUUUGGCAAUACCAUGUAAACUUCCUUAAGGCAUUAGUUAAGAAUAUAUUUUCUUUCACACAAAGAGUAUUUGAAAGAGGGAACAGACUGCAAAUGCAGCAGAAGGUAUGCUUUUGUACUCCUAUACUUAAGAGUAGAUGGUAUAAUUAGCUGACAAUGGUAGUUGAAUGUAACUCUCAGAAUGAGAACAUAUAGAAUUAAACAGUAGCUUUAGCUUAAUGAUAAUCAGUGAUAAUGAUGAUAAUAAUAAUAGUACUUAGAACUUUAAUGCAGAGAUUUGCAUUUUGAAAGUGCUAUGCUAAACAUUGACUUAAUUACUGUCACUUCUUCAGGGAAGGUAGGUAUUAUUCCCCUGACUUAAUAGAUAGGGAAAUAGAGAUAUAAGGGAAUGAAAUGACUUGCCAAGGGCUCUGCAAGGGCCUGUAAAGGGAGUCAAACUUUCCAGGUCCCUUUACUGUGUGCUCCCUUAUACUAGGCUAAUUAUGCACAUUGUAGGGUUGCUCUGUGCUUUUGAAACUUGAGACAAAGCCUUUUGAAAUUAAAACUGUGCGUAACAUGUUUUGAAGGUUGUAUUUUUUAAUCAGUAUGUGAUUGGAAAAAAUAUUUUAAUAUGAUUUUCCUCUCUAGGUCAACAAGAAACAUAUGGUUGGAGGCAAAAUUUUCAGUUUUGUUCUUAAAUAUAUAUAUUUAUUAAUCCUUUUAUAAAAAACUUCUGAAAGAAAGGUCAAAAAUUUGUACAGGGUAAUUGAAGAAACAGGUUUUUCUGAAAUUACUUUCAUUAUUAAUUGUGGAGAGAUGUGUUUGUGUGGCCUGAAAUUAUUUGCCAAAUUCCAAAUUUUUUAAAGUUGUCUCUGACACGCAAAUUGCGUAUUUUUUUGAAUUGUAUCUUGUAGACAUAUUUUUCUUGGUUCUUAUGAAAAUCAUUGUGAAUCUUUCUGCCUCAAUUAUUUCUCCUCACGGAAGGACUGGAGAUCAGCCCUGUGAUUUGAUUACUUGCAGAAUAUAUGGUGAGUAAAAUGGUAUGAUCUUAAUAUAAACAGUUUUCUGACCACAGCCACAAUUUAAGGCCAUGACGAGAUACUCUAAGAUGAAUUGCAUUCCAUAAGUAUGAAGUGAAAACAUCAGCUUUUAGCUAUAAUUAUUUCCCUGUGUAAAAGACAUUAAAACUAGACUACAGGAAUGAAUUUUGCUCUGACUGCAUUCACUACACUUUUAGCAUCGAUCUUGUAGGCACCACAGUUCUGGUUAAUUAAGUCUGAGUCGUAGUUCACUUUGAUAAAAAAUGUAGUUCUGUAUCUGUAGAGCAUAAGGCAAUAAAAGAUGUCAACAUCUGCAUUUGCAGGAUUUAGAAGGAGCUUUUGAUAAUCUGCUUCCUACCUUCUGUCACCUCUGCUUAACAAUGGAGGCAAACUCAUAGGUAUUUAAAACCUGGAUGUGCUGAGAACCUUCCUGUGAACAAGGUGAAGUUCCUGUCUAUACUGGCAGCCUUGCUGGACAGGGCUGGUGUCACAUUUAAGUGUUUCAGUACCUUUGAUGUACAUGGACAUUUGCUGGUACUCCGAAGGGAGAUGACAUCCAUAGGUAACAGCUUCAUGUAGCUUUAUUGAUUUUUGCAUUGUACUGGCAGUCAUUUCUAGGCAUGAGAAUCCCUUGCAGAGCCUGUCGUGAUAGUCUGACCUAGAGCUUCAGACAGUUUUUGUAGAUGAAUUUGAGGAAUGCUUUGCCUGUUUCCAGAACAAGAUAGCUAAUUCAUCCAGCUAAUAAAAACAUCAAAUAUUUUUAUCCAACAGCCUCUAACUGGGGUUUUCUUUAAAGGCUUUUUCUUUUUUUAAUUUUACAUAUUUUAAUUUUUCAUAUUGUCAUGACUGAAUACAGUGGUAGAAAUUAGAAACAUUGACAAAACAGUGGAGAAACUUUCUGAAAGACUGUAUUUGUUUUCAACAGACAUUUUGCAUUGAAAGCCAAAUGUUUUUCUAACAUUCACAGUUUUCCAGUCAGGGUAAGUGUAAAGAAACUAUUUCUAUAAUGGUGAAAUAGGCCAUAAGAGAAGGAGUGGCUAGUCACACACACAGAUCAACCCUUUUUUUGGAAAACUGAUUUUUUUUUUUCCUCAACAGAUUGCUUUGAAUGGAUAAUAUGGGCUAAAAUUAUUCCCAGACAUUAUUUAGCAAUAAUUUUAAUGAAAUGCAACAGAACCACAAUCUAACAAUGAGCUAACAGAAAUGUGCAUUGUUGUAUAUAGUUAGUAAGAAGUGUUCACCGCUCUAAUAAAACUAAGUGGCUUUUGGGGAGGUGCAGUAUGAACAAAAUAUUAAAUUUGGUUCAUCCUGAUAAUCCAUAUUGGAAUAUCAGAGAUGAGUUGUUGUCUGCACAGAGUUUAACAAACUCCCAGCUUUGAGGAGUACUAAACAAGAUGCGAGACCUGAUGGAGUGAAAUAAGAAAUAUGGACCUGAAGAUGAGACUGCUGUAUUAUAUGUUGAUCACACAAGGUGGCAGAAUAAGCUCAGGGCUAUCCCAGAAAUAAGAGGCAGUGAAUUAUCAUUGCUUUCAGUCAACAGUGUAUCCUUGCUUGCCCUAGGAAUAUGCAAGUUGCUUCUGCACAUGUAGAGGGAUGGAGGAGAGUAUUUUAAUACAGAAUUUUUUGAUAAUUUUCCAAGUGCUUCAAUUUCAUUUGGAGAUUUAAUGGAAACUCUUAAAAGCUUGUGGCUAACUUUGGAAAUUAAUAAUCAUACAAUGCUGAAUCUGCUCACAUAUUCAGUUUUAUUGAAAACACAGUUUACUUUCUAUUGAUACAUUGAUUCUCUAAGUGGGGUUGAACUCUUCAGAUGAAGGACAGCUGCAAGAACAGACAUGAAGGGAACAUUUUGCUGUUCAUUAUCGAUUGGUGGCUAAAUUCACUUCUAUUGUAAGUGAGUGAAACUUUAUUGACUUUCCUUGUAUUGCAUUUACUUAUAUGCUCUGCCUGAGCAUGGCAGGCAGAUAUAUGUGGCUGAACUGAGGGCAACCUCAAAGAGGAGAAAUGGAAGUUCAAGGAAAAGGGAAGAGAUUACUCUUCAGCAAUUGUCCUGUUAGUGCUUUGGCCAAUGAGUUGGGGAAUAGUAACAAUGCUUCUUUUCACACAGGUACAGCUACCAGAUGCCCUCCUUGACCUCUGAGCCUGCCGUCCUAAUCCUCACUUCCAGGGGCAGGGCUGAGCUGCAUCACCAAGGGAACUUUUGGAUUCUCCUCCGUUUGCUUGCUCAGUUUGCCUCUGUGGAGCUAUGAGACAGACAAGCAGUGCACCAAAAUGAUGGAGAAUUUCAAUUAUAAUAAGGGACUCCUUGCAGUCUUCCUGAUGUAAACUGCACCAGUAAAGCAUAAAAGCAGGGUAUGAAAGGAAAAGUUAAUCCUGGGAUCUUCAAAGCAAAACUGAGUGACUUCAGUCAAAAUUAUUUGGACAUGGAGAAAAUCCUGUUAACUACUGUCACACACACAGAGUGACACAUGGACAUGUCCACUUACUUUGACUUUUGGGAAGUGGCAGAGGAGGAGGAAAUGCAAGUACCAGAUCAAAAGAGCAAGAGUUUUCGAGUUGUCAGCAUGACUGUGUCCCCCAGCAGUAAAUCCUCCGAGAUUCACAGUUGUAUUUAGGAGCAUGGAAUAGGUGGUGGACAGCCCAAAGAUCCAGAGACCACCUUAUGUUUCUAACCCUUUCUUGUAAUAUUAUCUCUUCUCAGUCUUCACAUUACCAUUUUGGACAGGUUUCUCAGACGCUCAUCCUGUCUUAUUUUUAAUGAAUAAAAAAAGAGCUGUUCUUUGAGUUCCGAAUAUUUUUGUUAUCCAGAAAAUACCAUUAUAAAGUGAGUUCUUUGAACUUUCAGCUUUCCGGUUUUGAUGGUUGAAGAACAUAAGAAAGCCACUUCAAAAUACACCUUCUGAGGCCAGAGACAAACUUGACCUCUUCUCUAACACUUCUGCUUUGCUCAAAGAGGUUGACCCAUGGGAUCGAUGCCAAAGGAAGGUGCUCAGGGCCCAGGGUCUGGGAUGCUGAACAUGGCACUUUUUCAAGGUGAAAUAGCAACACAGAAGGAGGAUAUUUUUAUAAGUAAAAGUACUUGCCUGAUUCUCCUGUCACUGCUCAGUGACUUGCAUUUAUAUAUACUAUUUAAAGAUUCGUUAAAUGCAUAAAUAUGUGUAGUCUGUGACACGCAGCUCAACAGAUAUUAAAAGAUCCCAGCCUGUGGUUAUGAUUUAACUUGCUCUUUAAGACUUUUGCAACUGCUUCACAUUUUCUAUGCCUUUUUAGUUUGUAAGAUGAAAGCUGGAUUGUGGUGAUAGCUCAAAGAGCCUUCCCUUCCCUUCCCUUCCCUUCCCUUCCCUUCCCUUCCCUGCCCUUCCCUGCCCUUCCCUGCCCUGCCCUGCCCUGCCCUGCCCUGCCCUGCCCCUCCCCUAACCUUCCCUUUCCUUCCCUUCCCUUUCCUAACCUUCCCAAACCUUUCCUUCCCAAACUUUCCCUUCCCAAACCUGCCCUUUCCUUCCCACAUCUCCCCAGACCUUUCCAAACCUUCCCUUACCAAACCUUCCCAAACCUUCUCGCUUUUUUGAAGAAAUCAGGAUUGGUUAUUUUUAUUAUUUUUUUAUACCAACAUCGAAUGGAAAACAUUUGUAUUUAUUUAAGUGUUUAAGGAGGAUCUGCUCAUAACCUCCCAGCAAGACAGUAAAUUCUUCCAUGUAUUGACUUCAUCAGUUAUCCCUACUGGCUUUUCACAUGCCUGAGGGAUAUUUAGUCAGACAGAUUCUCUCUAAUGUAGAGGAAUCUCCAGGGAAGGUCAGCCAAACAAGCAGCACUUAUUCAGAAACAAUGUGAUGUGUGUGUGUGUGUGAAUGGCAGGUUACUGACAUGGUGCUGAGGAAAGACAGUAAGAGCACCACUUUCCUUUUCAGCUCCUUCAUAAGAAUAACCCUGGUUUCAGAACUGAAGAGCCUUCCUUGCUCUGCCAUCUGCACUCCAAACAGCAGUGAGAAUUAGGUCCUUCCCAAAAUCUGAUUUGAGGUGUUCAUUGUCCAAACCUUUGAAACAAUCACUUUUACUAAUGUAUGAGUGAACACUGGGCCAAAUAUUGCAAUGGUGGAUGGUGUGUCUGGUGGGUUCACUCAAACGCCAUGGUGCAGAAUGAGACUUUGGCAUCCAGUAAGGGGUCUACAGACUGAGGACUCUUCAGGGUUGCAUCUGUGUUUCACUCCUCUGCUGAUGUUCAUCUUCUCCCUGAACCAAGCAUCAAAUUCAGCUGGCAGGCAAACAUGACCCCUUACAAAACUGCAUCUGAUAUGUACGGUCACGAGAUGGGGAGCAGGCUGCAAAGGUGGACAUACGAGUCUGUUUUUAUGGAGAGGAGGGAACUUGACAUAGGGGAAAAUCAUGUAAGUCACAUAAGUCACAUUGAGCAAAUGAGAUUUGCUUUCUCUAUGUCCUCUGAGUGCUAGGAAAGCUCUCCCUAACCACAAAGCUCAAUAUUCAAAUGUCAGUCCUUACCUUACAACUAAUUCAUCUUAACAGGGUUAUAUAUGUGAAUAGCCUCACUGGGAUCAAAGGAGUUAUUUACCUGCAUGCAGUGUCAUGCACACACAUUUGCAGGAUCAGGCCCUCCACACACACAGCAGCUUUCAUUGCCCUGCCUGUUGCUAAGUCACAAUCUGAAGUGAAUUAAGGAAAGUGAAGAGAAGCAUAUGCUUACAUGGCAAGACUGCUGGAGAAUGGUUUAAAGUGUUAAAGGUUUAAAUCACACCAAGGCUAUAAAAAUCAACUUUGUUUAUGGAGCGGUGCAGAGACCUAUUGUACUUCAUAUCGAUCAAUCCAUUGAACACCUGGUUCAAAAUGUACAAUUGAAAGCUGUGGAAAAGUGCUAAAUUGAACAAUCUAAGUAACCUGUGAACCUGACAGUCAUAAAUCAAUGGAGAUGUUACACAUAGUUAACCCUAACUAGUUAGCAAAUUUUUAGCUGUGUUUCCUGGUUAGGAGCUAGUUUACCAUUUCAGAAUUGUAUUAAUACAGAAAACAUCUUUGCACUGAAUGUUCCUCAAUAAACAGAGCAUGAGGUUCACUGAAGACUUCCUCCCUUGGUGCUGUACCAGGUAAACCUUGCUUGAAUAUCAGAUUGGAAAAAAGGACAUUUGAAAUUAAGAAAUAGGCGUACAAAAAGACACACUGUCAACUUUGGGGGACUUAAACAGUAUGGAUACAAAAGAUAUAGGAUCCACUUUUCAAAGAUGCUUGAUUCCGCACAGAGGGUUAUUCACAUCUGUAUAGGCUUUGACAAACACUGAAUUUUGUGAUGCCAGUGCUGUUUUGUUACUUUUGUUCACAGGUUCUUUACAGACUUGGAAAGACUUUGGUUUGCUGGCCCAUCUUAUCUUACAUAUGGCUGGCAACAUUUGCCUUCCUUUGCUUCCUAAGGCCAGUAAAAAUGCUGAGUUUUUCAGGCAGGCUCACAAGAACUUCUUGGUCCUGUUAAACCAUUUUGCUUAGGGUUAAUUGCAUCCACACCUCUAGUCCUCUAUUAGCUUUUACAUUAUCUUAUCCUUUCAGCUCAGGCUGAGAGGUCUGCAGUCACCUGGGUUACACAUAUAACUUUAAAAAAAAAAAUGGUGUGAUGGUGGCUUUUUUUCUUCUUUUUUUUUCUUUUUUUUUUCCCUGUCCUUCUUGGAACUCCUCCAGUGUUCUCAGACUUACCAAAAAGCAAUAUUCAUGAUUUUGAAUUUUCUUCAGUCAGCUUUUUUAAACCUCUUCUUUGUAAAUUAUGCAGGUCUGCUGAUUUAAAUAGCUAUUUAACAUUCUACUGAUUUACUGGAAUGAACAGCAUUGCAUUGCCUUCUUAUGACAGAACUGAUUUUGUCUGUUUUUUCUUUAAGCGGAUAUCAGAUUUACAGAGCAUACAAAUUUUUGCAUACAUUAUUAACACGGCUAUAUGUCUGUGUAGUCAAGACCAAAAAUUUUUCUUGUUAUCCUUAACUCUGAUGAAAAACCUUACUUCUUGCUUCCAUCCUUAUCAAUUUUCUGUAGUUCUUAUCUUCUGUCUAAUUCUUAUGAAUUCUGAUAAAUCCCUUUUUUUCUAGUGUAAUUAUUUUGAUUUACAUAGCUGCUUUCACUUUUAUGCAAGUCAACAUUUAGGCUAGCUCACUUUUCAUUCUUUUUUUUUAAAACCUCUUGUAAAAUGUUUUUAAACAGUUUCCAGUCAUUAUCCACAUUUCCUGUCUAAUUUCUUUCUCCCAACUGAUUUAACUCAUAAUUGUUUUCAGCUUUGUGAAAUUGGCUCUUACGAUUCAUCACGUAUACAUAUUACUGGUCUGGACUUAAUUCUGAUUAUAUAUAACAAACAGAAGCAAAUCAUGAUCACUUUUAUCUAAACUACUGCUGAUUUCUAAAGUGUGCUUCUAUGACACUUUAUUCUCAUCUAUAAGGAUAAAAUGAUGCAAUAUAGCAUUCCAAAAUUGCUAGAUGCAGCAUUUUUAAGGAACUCAUAAUUUAUGGCAUAUUCCAAGAAUCUAUUAAUUUGGUGGCAUGAUAACUCCAAACCAUGCUAUUCAAAUUGAAGUGCUGACUUUGCAUGGUUUAUUUUUGUUCUUGUUUUAUGGAUACUUACUUAAGGAGAUAGUUUUCCUGUUCUUCUGGUAAUUACUUGCAGUUUUUUGUGUUACAUAACACACACAAAAAACAUAUCAUUUUAUACUGCUUUUGUAACACACCAAUCUACAGAUUAAGAAUUACUUAUGUCUUUGAGACUGUUUCCUAGUUUUGUCCAAUUUCUUCGGCCUUAUUUUAAUGACUUAAUGGAAUUUAGAAGGAGAGAACUGGCUUCCCAAAGAUUCCUUACCAAGGAAAAGUAAUGGAUAAGAAGUAGACUAUAUUUAAGAGUUCCACCCCAAUCGACAUUUUAAAAAGGGCCUAGUGCCUAUCUCAGCUUUUUUGCCUUCUUGUUGCUUUCAUCAACAGAUUGCCAGACGGUAAAGUGGAUUAGAGAGUCAGUCUUCAGUACUGCAGUACCAGUGCUACUAAAGGUUUAACCAAGUCACCUUCCAAAGGCUAAUCCUGCUGGCUGCUAUCUAAUAUAUUUUCCCUUGGUAACCCAUCCUGUUUCACUCACCGUUACAUUUAGAACAAGCAGCUGUAGAGAGCAUGUAAAAUCAGAGAAUAAUGCAACUUGAAAAUGCAAAGGUUGUUCCAUAAAUAAGCAUCUGACUUGCAAAAGAGUCACUCUUGCUGUGGCAGUUAAUUAACAAACAAGUCAUGUCUGUGCUCCUUCCUGGUGGCUGCAGUAAUCUUCUUGCUUGGUCCAAAGAGCUGACCAUAAAAAGAUUGUCACAAAGUGUAUGGUGUGAAGGAGAAUUUGGCAUUUGGGAAAACAAAUUUAAAGCAACCCCAGAAGUUUUCCCUCUACAAAUGCUGUCACAGUUGGCAGCAAGGGACAUAUUUACAACUGAAAUGCAAACUUGGUCAUUGAGGACACUUUUUUCAGGGAGAUGUGGAUCAAACGUCCACUGGGUUACAAUGCUGAGACCACCCAGGCUUUUACUAAUACUAGUGUUUACAUAAAAAGUUAGAAACAAGCUCCCCUCCAAUUAGAAAGCCAAUAUCUAACUAGAUGCUAGCUUGUUAUAUACCCUGUAGCCUGAAUGUUAAUGACUUUGACCUCCUUCAGUUUAAUCUUAAUCUCCUUGACAGAACAAGUGAAUUUUGGGUUAUACUUUACCGAAUUGUUCCCUUUGUUUUCUUCCCCCUCUUCUGUUUCCAACAGUGACUUUGUCACAUAUUGCAGACCCAAAUGAAAGCCUGUCUUCUUUUUCAAUCAGUCAUAUCACUAAGUAUAUGAGCAGAAAAACCCUUGUGAUUGACACUGCUUCAACAAAAGCAGAUUCAGUUUGCAGACGAUAAGAGGCAAAGUCAUACAAGCAGUGUUUACAAAGCAGUGAAGGAGCAAAAAAAAAAAAUAAUGAUAAAAGGACUAAUCUUAUUGUUUUACUAGAUGAGAGAAUGGUUCUUUGUGUUUGCUCUAGCAGAAGCCGACAGAUUGUCUCCCACCUCCCUUGUACACUUUUGGCAGCAAAAUAAUUUCCAGAAAAUUCUGUAUCAAAUGCUGGCUGGUAGAUUAAAAAAGGGCUCUGGAAUGCCUGGAAAGCUUCAGAAAGCAGAGGAGUUCCUGCACACGAUAGCACAUGCAUAUGCUACCUACAGCAUGCUAUAUAAUUGAACAUUAUCUCCCUCAACAAGGGGCAAGGAGAUAUAAGAGCAACAGAAGCAAAUGGAAAGCAAAGCAGAAGGAAAAAGAAACAAAGCUAUGUGAAAACAUAUUGAACUGGCUGAUCUGAUGUGUUUUCUGUUGUAUGGCAAUCUCACAUCUAUCAGGAACACUCUUCCUGAUUUCUUCACUCUAAGGGAGACCAGACCCACGUCAGCUCUAAUCGAAAGGUGUCCCAGCUUUCAACCCAUGCUCCUGGUGCUGGAGUGCUUGUAUGGUAGUAUGGCCAGCAAAGGUCACAGAAGUACCAUUUCCAUUUCUUGGUCCCAAAUGCUGGAGUGCGAUGACUGGAACAGAUUCAGAGUGGUAGCGCAGUUUAUAUUGGAAGGGAUCUUGGGAGGUGACAUGGUCUGAAUGCUGCUCAAAGAAAAGCUGACUUCAAAAUCAAAUCUAGACUGCCCGGUACACAUUUGAUAUUCCCUACUGGCAGUAGGGUGUCCCACUGGGAUUUUUUCAGGACAGCACAUCUGUACAUAAAUCUGUUUUAACCUUAUGUAAUGGCCACUAUUGACUGCACAGGAGGCAGGACAGAGAAUUAAAAUCCAGGAUGAUCUCAAUAGGUGAAGGACAGGAUACCCUUGCUUUCCAUCUCCUCUACUGUUCAUUAGUUUCAUGGUUUAAUUCCUAUCUCUUGCUAGCAGGGCCAGGCAGCUUUGUCCUUUCAACAGCUGAAGUCACACUGCUUCACCACCAUUCACCAAAGGUUGUUGAGCAAGUGUUUCCAAUUUUUUUCUCUACAAGAUGAAGCCUGCCAGCUCAGUUAUGUCCAUCAGUGAGCAUGAAUAUCUAGCUGUAAAAUAAUCAGUUGUCAUAGUCAUUAUUGAAAUAGGUUGCACAUAGAGCAUAUGAAGCAAUAAAAGGCAAGACAAAACUGUUUUAAUGAUUCUCCCCUAAAAGUCUCUAUGGAGUAUGUUCAUUGUGUCUGUCUAAUCUAACCAUCCCCACAGGCUAUAUGAGAAGCAGUACUAGUACUGAGGGAACAGCAAACACCUCAGGUUUCAUUGAAACAUUUCUUUUCAUCCCAUUCUGCCCCACUAAAAAGACAUUGACACUCUUAGAGAACAUUACUUGAGUUAAAGACAGGUACUCUGUUGGGAGAAAAAAAUUGACUUACCAAGUGAUGAAGCACAGGCAAUUUUAACUUUAUUCAGAACAAUUGCAAAUAAUGGCAAAUAACACAGUGAGUUUCACCGUGAGCAAGGCAUUCUGGCAUGUAUUUCUGAAUCCUGUUCAGAUUACUGCUGUUUAGCAAGUUACUGAACAUUAGCAGAGACACAGAAACUGUAUCUACUUUUGCUUUCAGCUUGUGGAAAAUGUGAAUAUAUUUAGUGUGUCUUUCACUACAUGCUAAGAUAACAUUUUAAAUACAUAUUUAUUUGUUGCUAGUAAAUUCUUGCAUAUGGAUACAUUUAACAUCCCUGCCACAGUACAGAAGGUGUACAGUAAUUUGUUAAUUUGUGGUAAUGUGAUCAGGUGGUUCAGCUCUAUCUCACAUUUGUGCUGUUUCACUCUCAUGACUUAUUCUUGCAAACCUCCAUGAAUUAAUAAAUAAGAACCCUGGCCAGCUAGCCUUCAAUGACUUUUCCAUGGAAACAUCUGUAUUGAAAAAUAAAGCUGUGAAACAUUUUGCACUGUCAAUUUCUAACAGUUACAGCACUCCUCUGGUACAUUAGUUAGAGCAAUUUGGGCUUUAGAACAAAAGUAAGUAUCUAUAACACAGGCACACAAAAUGAAUACCAGGGAAAUCAAUCAAAGAGUGAUAAACUUUUAUUAAAAAAAGACAUCACUCUCUGGCAAUUCAUAAAACAAGUCUCCAAAUCGGUAUAGACAGUACAAAUAAACAUAAAAUGAUUCUUUAAGGGCAUAAUGAGGCGUUCUGUCAACAGCAAUAAGAAAACAAAGCACAGAUGUAUGUUAAAGAAAUUGCACAUUUUCUGUUCAGAAAGCCUUCAGCAUUUCUUUUUGAUAAAAUACGAGUACAAGAUGCAAGAAAUGAAUUCCCCAUCUGAGCAAUGUCUUUUUAGUUUCUGCUUCUUGUUCUAUCAAAUCUAUCAUUGCUCUGUGGGACUUGAUACUCUGUGAAGAUCUUUGAAUUUGCUGAAAUACUUUAAGCUAAUCCUCAGUCUCUGGGACUUGGCCAUAUACCUAGGUUCAGCAGAGUCCACUCCUGCACGCUAUUCCUGGUGGACCGUUUCUGUAAGACUGAAACCUCCUUUCUGCUCAAGCAAUAUAUUUCAAGCUCACCCUUUUCCAAAAAUUACAAGUUUUAAUUCUAUGAAAUGUUGCCUGUAUAAUGUAUGUUAUUAAAAUAACUGUUCUUUA